This 1214-nucleotide ribosomal RNA is filed under the name metagenome. RNAcentral's name for it is "bacterial SSU rRNA". It matches the Rfam family "Archaeal small subunit ribosomal RNA", at positions 223 to 1445 of the family's 1478-position model. The record is from RNAcentral.
GAUUAUGGUAGUUGGUGAGGAAUGGCUCACCAAGCCGAUAAUCGAUAGGGGCCGUGAGAGCGGGAGCCCCGAGAUGGGUACUGAGACAACGACCCAGACCUUACGAGGUGCAGCAGGCGCGAAACCUCCGCAAUACACGAAAGCGUGACGGGGUUACCCAAAUGUUCAUAUUGAACUGUGGUAGGUGAGUAAUGUCCCCUACUAGAAAGGAGAGGGCAAGGCUGGUGCCAGCCGCCGCGGUAAACCAGCUCUUCAAGUGGUCGGGAUAAUUAUUGGGCUUAAAGUGUCCGUAGCCGGUUUAGUAAGUUCCUGGUAAAAUCGGGUAGCUUAACUAUCCGUAUGCUAGGAAUACUGCUAAUACUAGAGGGCGGGAGAGGUCUGAGGUACUACUGGGGUAGGGGUGAAAUCUUAUAAUCCUUGUAGGACCACCAGUGGCGAAGGCGUCAGACUGGAACGCGCCUGACGGUGAGGGACGAAAGCCAGGGGAGCGAACCGGAUUAGAUACCCGGGUAGUCCUGGCCGUAAACGAUGCAUACUAGGUGAUGGCACGGCCAUGAGCCGUGUCAGUGCCGUAGGGAAACCGUUAAGUGUGCCGCCUGGGAAGUACGGUCGCAAGGCUAAAACUUAAAGGAAUUGGCGGGGGAGCACCACAAGGGGUGAAGCCUGCGGUUUAAUUGGACCCAACGCCGGGAAACUUACCAGGGGAGACAGCAGUAUGACGGUCAGGUUGACGACCUUACCCGACGAGCUGAGAGGAGGUGCAUGGCCGUCGCCAGUUCGUGCCGUGAGGUAUCCUGUUAAGUCAGGCAACGAACGAGAUCCGCGCCUUUAUUUGCCAGCAAGAAGUUACGACUUCGUUGGGAACUCUAAAGGGACCGCCACCGAUAAGGUGGAGGAAGGAGCGGGCAAAGGCAGGUCAGUAUGCCCCGAAACCCCUGGGCUACACGCGGGCUGCAAUGGUAUGAACAAUGGGCAGUAACUCCGAAAGGAGAAACCAAUCCCGAAAUCAUAUCUCAGUUGGAAUUGUCGGCUGUAACUCGCUGACAUGAACGUGGAAUCCCUAGUAAUCGUGUGUCAUCAUCGCACGGUGAAUACGUCUCUGCUCCUUGCACACACCGCCCGUCGCUCCAUCCGAGUGUACUAAAAAUGAGGUUUGGUCAGUCUGGUCAUAUCGAGUUUCUAGUAUGCGAGGAGGGAGAAGUCGUAACAAGGUA